Molecule: long non-coding RNA, 915 nt
Filed under: Homo sapiens (human)
Lineage: Eukaryota; Metazoa; Chordata; Mammalia; Primates; Hominidae
Description: HSALNT0159473
Source: RNAcentral
GGAACACUUACUAUCACAUGCUCAUUGUUGCAGGACGGAUGCGUGGCCAGCCUCAGGUUGUUAAACAUUAGGGUGAUCCGCCUUCCCUCCGGGGCAGUGAUUCUCCACUCGCAGAUCCGGCCAUGAGGAUUUGGGUUCGGGUAGUUGGGAGAAGUAAAUGUUCCAAUAGAGCCCUGAAGAUCCCCACCACACUCUGACGUGGGGAAAAAGCCAAGAAAACUUUCAAUCAAAUCAAAAUGUUUCCUUCCAUCAAGAAAGCUCUCAAAAUUCAGGUGUCCUGUGUGUACAAAGAAAAUAAUAAAAAACAAGACCCUGCCUAUGAAGAAACGUUAAUCUCUGUCAAGACAACAGGAAAACAUGAAUAAAAAUGAACAUAUUCAAAUACAUGAAGAAGUGAAAAAAAUGCAACCAAUUAGGGGAAGGAUAUCUCAGCACAAUGAGGAAGGCUUGCUCAUUUGGUUGAAAAAAUGAUCUGAGACAACAGUGACAAGUAUCUGCCUUAUGCUACCACUAGGAGACAUGCAUGAUCCCUUCCCCAUCUCAAGCUAUAGAACACCCCUCAAAUAACGGCAUGUGGCAAUGGGAUGUCUCAGCAGCAAGAGGUGCCUUCCCACUACCGUUGCUCUCCCCAAGUGGCCUCCAGGGUGGGCUAUAUGACACCUGGGCUCUGGGCAUCCAUUGUUAAUGGUAGAAUUGAGGGAGAGAAUCACCAGUACUGCCCAAAGCUCAUUAGUCUGCACUUCUCUGCAGAGUAUAGAUGUGCUUUUGCCUUUCUUGGAAGUGAAGAAACUUCAGAGGCUGAAUAAGUACAUGUGAAAAUAAACACCCAAAAGAGAGCAGAUAUAUUUUACUAACCAGAGGUAUGAUUGUCCCAGAUCUCCACGAAGUCUUUUUCACAGCCAGAAGAAUUCUGAA